RNAcentral lists this ribosomal RNA (307 nucleotides) under uncultured bacterium. Its description in RNAcentral is "bacterial SSU rRNA". It matches the Rfam family "Bacterial small subunit ribosomal RNA", at positions 28 to 301 of the family's 1533-position model. The record is from RNAcentral.
GACGAACGCUGGCGGCGUGCCUAAUACAUGCAAGUCGAACGCACUCUCGUUUAGAUUGAAGGAGCUUGCUCCUGAUUGAUAAACAUUUGAGUGAGUGGCGGACGGGUGAGUAACACGUGGGUAACCUGCCCUAAAGUGGGGGAUAACAUUUGGAAACAGGUGCUAAUACCGCAUAAACCUAACACCGCAUGGUGUAAGGGUUGAAAGAUGGUUUCGGCUAUCACUUUAGGAUGGACCCGCGGUGCAUUAGUUAGUUGGUGAGGUAAAGGCUCACCAAGACCGUGAUGCAUAGCCGACCUGAGAGGGU